UGGGGAAUAUUGCACAAUGGAGGGAACUCUGAUGCAGCGACGCCGCGUGAGUGAUGAAGGACUUCGUUUCGUAAAACUCUGUUCUAUGGGAAGAAAAGGACUGUACCAUAGGAGAAAGCUCCGGCUAAAUACGUGCCAGCAGCCGCGGUAAUACGUAUGGAGCGAGCGUUGUCCGGAAUUAUUGGGCGUAAAGGGUGCGCAGGCGGCUUUACAAGUUGGAUGUGAAAUAUUGUGGCUCAACCACAAACGUGCAUCCAAAACUGCAAAGCUUGAGUUGAGGAGAAGUAAGUAGAAUUCCUGGUGUAGCGGUGGAAUGCGUAGAUAUCAGGAGGAAUACCGGUGGCGAAGGCGACUUACUGGACUUAAACUGACGCUCAGGCACGAAAGCGUGGGGAGCAAACAGG
RNAcentral lists this ribosomal RNA (404 nucleotides) under Fusobacteriota bacterium. Its description in RNAcentral is "Fusobacteria bacterium partial 16S ribosomal RNA". It matches the Rfam family "Bacterial small subunit ribosomal RNA", at positions 355 to 776 of the family's 1533-position model. Lineage: Bacteria; Fusobacteriati; Fusobacteriota. The record is from RNAcentral.